Long non-coding RNA from Hirundo rustica (Barn swallow), 1830 nucleotides. RefSeq lists it as uncharacterized. The transcript has 3 exons. NCBI's taxonomy places the organism in Eukaryota, Metazoa, Chordata, Aves, Passeriformes, Hirundinidae. The record is from RefSeq and is a predicted model, not a curated record.
UUGAAGGAAGGGUGAGGUAAAAUUCCUGCAAUCCUCUCAGGGUUUAGCUUUUGGCUACUUUUGCUUAUGUCCUAGGGUAACUUUAUGAUGCUUGUAUCCCCAAUCGUCUGUUCUGUUUGUGCUGUAUAUUGAGUUCUGUGCCUUUAAGACUGGUUCUAAGAGCAAGGAGAAGUGCGGAGUUUGUUUUGAGAAAACUGCCUGACUCCUCCACAUUCUUCUGCAGACGGGGUGUUCGGUGGAGCUUGGCGAGACUGCAGGACAGAGAUCUUUUUGCUUUUAGUUAGUUUCAGCUAGCUAGGGCAGAGAAGUUCCCUGGACUGUUUUUUUUUUCCUUUUUCUUGGAACUGUUUAAACCUGCUCUGGACUGAAAACCCAGGGGAGCACUGGGGCUGCACCUGCGGCCCACCGGGGCCUGGACCUCAGCAUUUUCCAGCAGCGCCGGAGGGACUGGGACUGAUGAGAGACUGAGAGAGAGAACCGAGCUACACCCACGGCAAGGACUUUCUCAAUUUGCCAUCUCACUCCAGAACGAGAGAUAUACUACCAAUAUUGACGAGUCCUGAAGACUUUGCAACAACACUACGGAACCCUGCUGAUGAAGAUCUCUUGAAGACAAUCAUGAAUCACAGGGUGGUGUAAGAGUUGGUCUGAAGUCCCCUCAUUUGCCUCACGAUCGUCACGAGGACCCUGAGGACCCCACUGCAGUUCUGGCCUGCUCGAGGUGGAUGCUUGCCAAUCGUCUGCAGGUGCAUUUUCCUGAGUCACCACACCAUGAUUAUCUGUGACAUUAUCUUACAACUGAUGGAGGAGAAAUUUGGUGGAGACAGCAAAGCAUCCUUUGAGAAGGUGACCAAUGAAAUCUGCACGCACCUGAAUAAUACCUAUAAAGAGGAGGGCUGGUGAGGAUGUACACCCUCCAGGCUCUUCAAACAACUUGCCAGCACUGAUUUGCUGCUCUUGGGCCACCAGCCACAGCUGGAAAAAUUUAAAAAGGCAAGAAAAAAGGCUUCUACAAUAUAGAUACCAAUGUCAAUGAUUUCCUUAGCCAACUGAGUUUCUACAGCUAAACAAAACCCAGAUACAUCAAAGUCACCCAACAAAUCCUGAUGUGCUUUGCAGUUUCAGUGUUUCAGGUGGGUUCCUCUGGCCACUGUCCUUGAAGACUACAUUUUAAGAGAGUGACUUUAAGCUUUCUAUCUCUAAAAGAAAGACUUGCUCUUUUCCAGCAGCACCAGCAGUUCUUUGACUCACCUACCACCUCUCCAUCCUCACAGAUGACCGCAAGGAGACCAUCUGAAGCAUGUCCAGAAUCUUGGUAGAGGUCAUUAUUUAAGAGGCAUCAGUAUUGUUUUGUGUUUGAAUUUGAACAAGAGGGGAGUGGUGUAUUGUUGCAACCCUGAGCACUGAGAAUUUUAGACUUUGUGUGCUGAACAGGCACUGACCCCCAACAAAACACUACAUUUGACCCAAGGCCUUGGAAGAGGUUUCCAGAAUUGAGUGAUAGCACUGGUAUUAUGGGUGUGUAGUUUGAAUAGAAGUGUGUAAUAUCACAGGGUGGAAAAUUUAAAGUUUAAGGUUUUAGUAUAUAGUAAUAUAUAUUAAGCAAGAUGGAGGCUUUAAGGUGUAGACAAAGUAUUUUUUUUCACCUUCUUCAUGGGUUUGGGUGGUAUCUUGUAAUUGGAUAGAAAAAUCCGCAUUGCAGACCGUGGGUGGUUGGUUAUUGGGUUAAAAGUGAAAAUAAUUAGAUGUCAUUUCAUAAUUGGACAGGUUGUUCUUAAAAGACCUUGUAAAGAGAGAGACAGAGCCAUUCUUCACUUUUUUAGCUAGAAC